GACGAACGCUGGCGGCGUGCCUAACACAUGCAAGUCGAGCGGAGAUGUACUGAAGAUUUAUCGGAUGUACAUCUUAGCGGCGGACGGGUGAGUAACGCGUGGGCAACCUGCCUUCCACUGGGGGAUAACACAGGGAAACCUGUGCUAAUACCGCAUGACAUCACAUAGGGCAUCCUGUGUGAUCAAAGGAGUGAUCCGGUGGAAGAUGGGCCCGCGUCCGAUUAGCUAGUUGGUGAGGUAACGGCUCACCAAGGCGACGAUCGGUAGCCGGACUGAGAGGUUGGCCGGCCACAUUGGGACUGAGACACGGCCCAGACUCCUACGGGAGGCAGCAGUGGGGAAUAUUGCGCAAUGGGGGGAACCCUGACGCAGCGACGCCGCGUGAAGGAAGAAGGCCUUCGGGUUGUAAACUUCUUUGAUGAGGGACGAAGGAAGUGACGGUACCUCAAAAACAAGCCACGGCUAACUACGUG
Molecule: ribosomal RNA, 473 nt
Filed under: uncultured bacterium
Lineage: Bacteria
Also listed under: 1 other name
Description: bacterial SSU rRNA
Rfam family: Bacterial small subunit ribosomal RNA
Source: RNAcentral